RNAcentral lists this long non-coding RNA (363 nucleotides) under Pan troglodytes (chimpanzee). RNAcentral describes it as "long non-coding RNA NONPTRT003931". The record is from RNAcentral. Lineage: Eukaryota; Metazoa; Chordata; Mammalia; Primates; Hominidae.
GGGAAGUACAGAUGACUCCCCAGGUGAGACGGCAUUUGAUUGAGAGCUUAGAACAAGAGUUCCACAGAUGAGGAGAAGAAAGAAGCUUUCACUCCAGUUUCAGAACUGCCAGGAAAGCUGCAGAACAAAGGUCUGAAAACAUAAGAGAAGCCAGGAAAAUGCAAGUCCUUCCUCCUGACCCUAGAAAAUCUCUGCUGCCAAGGCUGGGACUCUGCUGCCAACUUCAGGCCUGGGAAAACCAAGACUCCAGGAGCUCUACCUCUAGGAUUCUUCCAAACAUCUCACCAUGUCCUCUGAUACCUCUGUAGUCAUCUGCCACAACCUACUUCUGAAUAAAUCCUACAUUCCACCUUUCUGUGCCUG